RNAcentral lists this long non-coding RNA (1713 nucleotides) under Triticum aestivum (bread wheat). RNAcentral describes it as "long non-coding RNA (TAES_LNC019726)". The record is from RNAcentral. Lineage: Eukaryota; Viridiplantae; Streptophyta; Magnoliopsida; Poales; Poaceae.
AGGUACAAUAAUAUUCAUCAAAUACAUGUGUAUAAGAUUACAUCAUUGAUGAAUACAAUUUUCUGGCAUAGCCCUAAGGCUAUUUACAUGGCAGCGGAAGUCUUGGUUUGGCAGCGUCUCACUAAGUCGGGGCUCCAUAACGCACAGGACUGGCAAGAUUACGGCCUAGCACAACGGAACUAGCAAACGACCUACAAAACUGACAUGACACGCCAGGUCAGUACAUUGAAUGUACUUGCAAGACAACCAAAUACAUAACAUCCAAACAAACAGAUGACAAGGCAAGAAGCAAGCAUAUGCAACAAUCUACUCCCACACAACUUCUAAGCAUGGCAUGAUAUUAACUAGAAUCAUAAAUCCAACUAGGCAUGAACAACAUCAUAGCAUCUACUAUCAUGGCAUAUCAAACUUACUUCUAACAUAACAACAACAAAGCAUAGCAUAUCAAAACAUGGCAUGCAUGGCAUCAUGAAACUAUGCUGAAAAUAAACUACCAGUUACCUCCCGUGAAGACAUGUUGUAAUAACCUUAUGCCACAAUCACUUACUCUGCCACGGCUCCUCGGAGCACAAUCAUGACUUACCGAGACCUCGGCUCGGGGUCAUAUCAACACAUCAUCGUGACUUCUCACGAUUAUUUCAUAGUCCAAGCCAUCACAUUAGUUAUCACAUCUUAGUUAUCACAUAAUUUAUUAGCUAAUUUAUCCUCCAUUACGACCGAGACCCGAUAGUGUGACCUACUACGAACCUGUGCCCAUGACCGAGGACGCGGCUAUCGAUAGAUUUAAUACACUCUGCAGAGGUAGCGCACUUUACCCACACUAUGGAACCCUGGUCUCGCACUCCCAUACGUGCAGACCAAAGCGUUCCGACAAAACCGAUCUACUGCCAUGACGCUCUCCCGGCCACUCCGACCAACACCCCUUAAGGGUUCAGUCCUGGGUGGCCCCGUACCUACCAAAUGUACCAACGGCCACCGUCGUGGCAAAACGGUCCCAAACGGGGACAUGAGCUCAAAACCAAACCCGGGCACAGAAGGCUUAUGUCCGCCUACCUGAUCAGGGUAAGCGCACCCAUAACCUUCCCUCGCGGGAGGCACUGGCGAGAGGCAUGACAAUAGACCCAGCUAGGACCUUCCCACAAGGUAAAUGUGGUUGCACUGGAGAAAGCUCGAUUUGGUGGCACUAUGAUAUCCCAGUGAUGGCGGAGGAGGUUUGUUAUUAAGUCAUAUUAUUAACUUCUCCACCAUCAUCAACAUUAUGAGCAUAUUAAACAAGAAUGCAACAAUGAACAUGCAGCAAACAAAUGCAUUAACAAAUAUCAAGCUACUCCAGUGAACAGUUAUAGCAUAUGAAACAUAACAAUACUAGAUACUAGCUUAUUGACGGUGCAACAAAAUCAUCAUAACAUCAAGACUACUGGCAUGAACUAAACUAGAUAGAGGCAUGAUAUUAUCAACAACAAUAUAACUAGCAUGGCAAAAGCUAUCAUGAGAGGUAAGCAAGCAGUACUAACAUAUAUCACAACUGAAAUAACGGCAGACGAAACGGACAAAAACUACCACAACUAAGCACACACACGAGGUACCAGCAAAGUCAACAUGCAAGUUCGGGGCUCAUGAUAAGAGGUUGGCUUGCCUGGGGUCGAGGAUUACUCCGGAAAAAGUGUGGAACGAUCGCGGAAAGAUUUGCCGGAAACAGUUCUCUCUCGGAGG